UAGUACACUUAAAUUUAAUUAGUAAAUACUAGAAUAUUAGGAGUUAUGUUCUUUAAAUUUAAAAAAUUUGGCGGUGUUUUAGUCUAGUUAGAGGAACCUGUAUUAUAAACGAAACAACACGCAUUAUCUUACUUAUUUUAGUAAGACAGUUUGUAUACCGUCAUUAUCAGAUAAUUUAGGAGAAAAUAUUAUUGAGGCCAUAUUAUUGAGUAUAUUAGAUCAAGGUGCAGCUUAUGAGUAAGUAAAUAUGGGUUACAAUAAAAUUUAUUUAGUAUGAAUUAAAUAUUAAAAUAUAUUUAUGAAGGAGGAUUUAAUUGUAAGAAAAAAGUAGUAAGAUUUUUUGAUAAAAGCUCUAAAUUAU
RNAcentral lists this ribosomal RNA (361 nucleotides) under Cambarus carinirostris. RNAcentral's name for it is "partial 12S ribosomal RNA". Lineage: Eukaryota; Metazoa; Arthropoda; Malacostraca; Decapoda; Cambaridae. The record is from RNAcentral.